UAGGGAAUCUUCGGCAAUGGACGAAAGUCUGACCGAGCAACGCCGCGUGAGUGAAGAAGGUUUUCGGAUCGUAAAACUCUGUUGUUAGAGAAGAACAAGGACGUUAGUAACUGAACGUCCCCUGACGGUAUCUAACCAGAAAGCCACGGCUAACUACGUGCCAGCAGCCGCGGUAAUACGUAGGUGGCAAGCGUUGGCCGGAUUUAUUGGGCGUAAAGCGAGCGCAGGCGGUUUCUUAAGUCUGAUGUGAAAGCCCCCGGCUCAACCGGGGAGGGUCAUUGGAAACUGGGAGACUUUAGUGCAGAAGAGGAGAGUGGAAUUCCAUGUGUAGCGGUGAAAUGCGUAGAUAUAUGGAGGAACACCAGUGGCGAAGGCGGCUCUCUGGUCUGUAACUGACGCUGAGGCUCGAAAGCGUGGGGAGCAAACAGG
Molecule: ribosomal RNA, 429 nt
Filed under: Gemmatimonadota bacterium
Lineage: Bacteria; Pseudomonadati; Gemmatimonadota
Description: Gemmatimonadetes bacterium partial 16S ribosomal RNA
Rfam family: Bacterial small subunit ribosomal RNA
Source: RNAcentral